GCCUUCGUGGUGUAGUGGUCAGCACGCUCGACGCGUAUUCGAGAGGUCCGUGGUUCGAGUCCCGGCAAGGGUA
Stegodyphus mimosarum is the source of this 73-nucleotide non-coding RNA. Lineage: Eukaryota; Metazoa; Arthropoda; Arachnida; Araneae; Eresidae. The record is from Rfam.